RNAcentral lists this long non-coding RNA (363 nucleotides) under Malus domestica (apple). RNAcentral's name for it is "long non-coding RNA (MDOM_LNC018455)". The record is from RNAcentral. Lineage: Eukaryota; Viridiplantae; Streptophyta; Magnoliopsida; Rosales; Rosaceae.
UCUACUUAUGAGUUCUAUAUGAAUUGACAAAAGUCUAGAGAAUCCUUUCUUGAAGAAAAGGAAGAUCACAUUACAAUGAUAUAAGUAAUAAGAAAAACGUUUCUUAUAUGGUUAUCACUUGAAACACAAUGACCAAGAUCACUCUUGAUUCAAUUAGUAGUUUUGAACAAUUAAUUGGGCAUUCUUAAAAUUGUUUUAAAAUGUCAAUUGUGUUAGUAAUUAAACCAAGAAAGAAGUGUCUAAAUCUAUAAAAUUGUUUAACGACUUUAGUCACUUAAUAACAAGACAUUAACUUAGUGAAGAUUGAAACAAAUAAGCUUGAAAUGUUUCAAAGCUACUACACAAUGUCUUCUACCAAUAUAA